RNAcentral lists this ribosomal RNA (277 nucleotides) under Escherichia coli. RNAcentral's name for it is "partial 16S ribosomal RNA". It matches the Rfam family "Bacterial small subunit ribosomal RNA", at positions 931 to 1208 of the family's 1533-position model. The record is from RNAcentral. Lineage: Bacteria; Pseudomonadati; Pseudomonadota; Gammaproteobacteria; Enterobacterales; Enterobacteriaceae.
UGGGUGGAGCAUGUGGUUUAAUUCGAUGCAACGCGAAGAACCUUACCUGGUCUUGACAUCCACAGAACUUUCCAGAGAUGGAUUGGUGCCUUCGGGAACUGUGAGACAGGUGCUGCAUGGCUGUCGUCAGCUCGUGUUGUGAAAUGUUGGGUUAAGUCCCGCAACGAGCGCAACCCUUAUCCUUUGUUGCCAGCGGUCCGGCCGGGAACUCAAAGGAGACUGCCAGUGAUAAACUGGAGGAAGGUGGGGAUGACGUCAAGUCAUCAUGCUCGACGUC